UACGUAGGGUGCGAGCGUUAAUCGGAAUUACUGGGCGUAAAGGGUCCGUAGGUGGCUCGCUAAGUCAGACGUGAAAUCCCUCGGCUUAACCGGGGAACUGCGUCUGAGACUGAUGAGCUUGAGUGCAGGAGAGGAACGCGGAAUUCCAGGUGUAGCGGUGAAAUGCGUAGAUAUCUGGAGGAACACCGGUGGCGAAGGCGGCGUUCUGGACUGCAACUGACACUGAAAGACGAAAGCCAGGGGAGCAAACGGG
This 253-nucleotide ribosomal RNA is filed under the name uncultured bacterium. Its description in RNAcentral is "partial 16S ribosomal RNA". It matches the Rfam family "Bacterial small subunit ribosomal RNA", at positions 524 to 776 of the family's 1533-position model. The record is from RNAcentral.